Molecule: long non-coding RNA, 601 nt
Filed under: Rhinopithecus bieti (black snub-nosed monkey)
Lineage: Eukaryota; Metazoa; Chordata; Mammalia; Primates; Cercopithecidae
Description: lncRNA (ENSRBIG00000045895.1)
Source: RNAcentral
UUGUUUCAAAUGUAAGGAAAAGAUGCUUCCAUAUGGAAUAGAACCAUUUAGGAGCCACAAUCAAUCACUGAAGAUAAUCAAAUGUCCCUGAGCUUCAUGACCUGGGCUAACUGAGUUAGAGCCCGAAGAAAACAAAAAAGUCCCACAAAGAUGUAGGAUCUCACUUUGCCUGCAUUAAUUCCCUGUCCUUUGCCCAGUUUCUCCUCUCUUGGAAGGCAGAGGCAGCUUCUGAUUUUGAUCACUUCGUGUCCAGAAUUCCAGAACUCUCUGACCGUAUAAUAAGUCCUGCUGACCUCCAGCCUCCUGGACAGAGUCUUUUGACCAUCCAUAAAAAACUUGUGAAAGACUUGCUGGUAAUGAAUGCUAUCUUAAAUGCUUUACAAACAUUAUUGAAUUUAAUCUUCACAAUUAACCUUUUGAGGACUAUUUGGUGAAUGAAGUGAGUUUUGAACUCAGGCUGACUUAGAUUGUACAAGCCCACAUUUCUACUCCUGCCUCAACCUCCCAAGUAUCUUUGACUACAGGUGUGCGUGUCACCAUGGCCCAGCUAAUUUUUGUAUUGCCCAGGAUGGUCUUGAACUCCUGGGCUCAAGCAUCCUCC